This 690-nucleotide ribosomal RNA is filed under the name human gut metagenome. RNAcentral describes it as "bacterial SSU rRNA". It matches the Rfam family "Bacterial small subunit ribosomal RNA", at positions 819 to 1520 of the family's 1533-position model. The record is from RNAcentral.
AGUGUUGGGGAAACUCAGUGCUGAAGUUAACACAUUAAGUUCUCCGCCUGGGGAGUACGCUCGCAAGAGUGAAACUUAAAGGAAUUGACGGGGGCCCGCACAAGCGGUGGAGCAUGUGGUUUAAUUCGACGCUACGCGAAGAACCUUACCAGGGCUUGACAUCUGGCUAAAUACCCUAGAGAUAGGGGGAUAGCUAUAGCCAAGACAGGUGGUGCAUGGUUGUCGUCAGCUCGUGUCGUGAGAUGUUGGGUUAAGUCCCGCAACGAGCGCAACCCUUGUCCUUAGUUGCCAUCAUUCAGUUGGGAACUCUAAGGAGACUGCCGAUGUAAGUCGGAGGAAGGUGGGGAUGACGUCAAAUCAUCAUGCCCUUUAUGCCCUGGGCUACACACGUGCUACAAUGGCCGGUACAAAGAGACGCGAAACCGCGAGGUCAAGCAAAUCUCAUAAAGCCGGUCUCAGUUCGGAUUGGAGUCUGCAACUCGACUCCAUGAAGCUGGAAUCGCUAGUAAUCGCGAAUCAGAAUGUCGCGGUGAAUACGUUCCCGGGCCUUGUACACACCGCCCGUCAAACCAUGAGAGCUGGUAAUACUCGAAGUCGUUAUCCUAACCCGUAAGGGAGGGAGACGCCUAAGGUAGGACUGGUGAUUGGGGUUAAGUCGUAACAAGGUAUCCCUACGGGAACGUGGGGAUG